CGGGCCGUGGCUCAGUUUGGUAGAGCGCUUGUCUGGGGGACAAGAGAUCGCUGGUUCGAAUCCAGUCGGCCCGACCA
This 77-nucleotide transfer RNA is filed under the name Myxococcales bacterium LLY-WYZ-16_1. RNAcentral describes it as "tRNA-Pro". It matches the Rfam family "tRNA". From Rfam's summary of the family: Transfer RNA (tRNA) molecules are approximately 80 nucleotides in length. Their secondary structure includes four short double-helical elements and three loops (D, anti-codon, and T loops). Lineage: Bacteria; Pseudomonadati; Myxococcota; Myxococcia; Myxococcales. The record is from RNAcentral.